Molecule: long non-coding RNA, 944 nt
Organism: Amphibalanus amphitrite
Lineage: Eukaryota; Metazoa; Arthropoda; Thecostraca; Balanomorpha; Balanidae
Exons: 2
Source: RefSeq, a predicted model, not a curated record
GUGUCGCCGGUCGCAACCAGUGCAGUUUACGCUGGGCGGACCGGAGCACAGCAUUCACUACCCGGAGAGUGUAGCGGGACUGGACUGAAGUCCGAUACAGCAGGGUCAAGACCGGCAUCCCCGAGUGACGCCAACAGCGUCACCAUGCUUCACGGCUGGAUACUGGCUGUCCUAGCAGGACAUCUCGUCCACGGUCUGUUCGGUCUGGGGUGCCCUCUGCCCGGCGCCUGUGUGCGUCUCUCUGCGUGUGACCGGCUCCUGUCGGAGUCCCCCGUCUGUCCCGGUGGGCUCGUCUGCUGCGUCUCCGGCGCCGGUACCCCGUCACAGGGGGCUGGAGAACUCCGCCGGCGCAGGCAGGCACAACUCCCCGCGUUGGAUCUCUCUUCAUUGGGCCCAGGGGGUUCACAGGAGCCACUUCCGCCAAUUGCCGGAGGGUUGCCAAUUGACAGGAGCCAGGGCCAGGGCAUAAUCGGAACGCGGCCUUCCGGUGGGCUAAACUUUGAUCGAAUCCUGGGAUUUCUUCAAAGACCUCGAGGCUAGAAACGGGGGACUUUGAUGCUGAACGUAAUUGAUGCAAUAUUCUUUCUAUGAAGGUCGGUUUAAAAAGCAAAGCAUCUGCACAUGGCUGUAACAAAUUGUCUACCUGAACUAAAACAGCACGAAUGAUACACGACCGUUCGUUUAAAGCGGGAUUAUUUUUGCAAGACUUUCUUGCCUAGAAUAGAGGACAUAAACCUGUCAUUUUCUUUGUGUCCUGCUUGCAAGUUCAGGCCAACGCUUCAUGGCUAUAGGUUGCAAGAUGCGUUGCUGUGAAGCCUUAUAGCUCCGAAGUAAAAUGACAAGUUCGCGAGACUUCUGAGUACAUGAAUGAAACCGUUAUGUAUGUACCAUUGAGUAACCUCCUUUGUGACUGAACCGCUGAACAAUAAGAUAAUUUGGAUGUA